RNAcentral lists this non-coding RNA (30 nucleotides) under Mus musculus (house mouse). Lineage: Eukaryota; Metazoa; Chordata; Mammalia; Rodentia; Muridae. The record is from RNAcentral.
UGGGCCCUGCAAUGAACUGAUCUCUACUUU